UCCGAUCUGAACUCAGACGUGGUUACCCGCUGAACUUAAGCAUAUCAGUAAGCGGAGGAAAAGAAACUAACAAGGAUUCCCUUAGUAACGGCGAGUGAAA
This 100-nucleotide ribosomal RNA is filed under the name Hemicriconemoides strictathecatus. RNAcentral's name for it is "partial 28S ribosomal RNA". It matches the Rfam family "Eukaryotic large subunit ribosomal RNA", at positions 1 to 98 of the family's 3401-position model. Lineage: Eukaryota; Metazoa; Nematoda; Chromadorea; Rhabditida; Criconematidae. The record is from RNAcentral.